Molecule: ribosomal RNA, 396 nt
Filed under: uncultured bacterium
Lineage: Bacteria
Description: bacterial SSU rRNA
Rfam family: Bacterial small subunit ribosomal RNA
Source: RNAcentral
UUGGGAAUCUUGGACAAUGGGGGAAACCCUGAUCCAGCCAUGCCGCGUGAGUGAUGAAGGCCUUCGGGUUGUAAAACUCUUUCGACGGGGACGAUAGUGACGGUACCCGUAGAAGAAGCUCCGGCUAACUUCGUGCCAGCAGCCGCGGUAAUACGAAGGGGGCUAGCGUUGUUCGGAAUUACUGGGCGUAAAGCGCGCGCAGGCGGCUAUCCAAGUCAGUGGUGAAAGCCCGGAGCUCAACUCCGGAACUGCCAUUGAAACUGUUUAGCUUGAGGACGAGAGAGGUGAGUGGAAUUCCCAGUGUAGAGGUGAAAUUCGUAGAUAUUGGGAAGAACACCGGUGGCGAAGGCGGCUCACUGGCUCGUAUCUGACGCUCAGGCGCGACAGCGUGGGGAU